UGGGGAAUAUUGGACAAUGGGCGCAAGCCUGAUCCAGCCAUGCCGCGUGAGUGAUGAAGGCCUUAGGGUUGUAAAGCUCUUUCGCCGGUGAAGAUAAUGACGGUAACCGGAGAAGAAGCCCCGGCUAACUUCGUGCCAGCAGCCGCGGUAAUACGAAGGGGGCUAGCGUUGCUCGGAAUCACUGGGCGUAAAGCGCACGUAGGCGGAUCGUUAAGUCAGGGGUGAAAUCCUGGGGCUCAACCUCAGAACUGCCCUUGAUACUGGCGAUCUCGAGUUCGAGAGAGGUUGGUGGAACUCCGAGUGUAGAGGUGAAAUUCGUAGAUAUUCGGAAGAACACCAGUGGCGAAGGCGGCCAACUGGCUCGAUACUGACGCUGAGGUGCGAAAGCGUGGGGAGCAAAACAGGAUUAGAUACCCUGGUAGUCCACGCCGUAAAACGAUGGAUGCUAGCCGUUGGGGAGCUUGCUCUUCAGUGGCGCAGCUAACGCCUUAAGCAUCCCGCCUGGGGNGUACGGUCGCAAGAUUAAAACUUAAAUGAAUUGAC
RNAcentral lists this ribosomal RNA (543 nucleotides) under uncultured bacterium. Its description in RNAcentral is "partial 16S ribosomal RNA". It matches the Rfam family "Bacterial small subunit ribosomal RNA", at positions 355 to 914 of the family's 1533-position model. The record is from RNAcentral.